This 450-nucleotide ribosomal RNA is filed under the name uncultured bacterium. Its description in RNAcentral is "partial 16S ribosomal RNA". It matches the Rfam family "Bacterial small subunit ribosomal RNA", at positions 354 to 796 of the family's 1533-position model. The record is from RNAcentral.
GUGGGGAAUUUUGGACAAUGGGCGCAAGCCUGAUCCAGCAAUGCCGCGUGCAGGAAGAAGGCCUUCGGGUUGUAAACUGCUUUUGUACGGAACGAAACGGUCCGGGUUAAUACCCUGGGCUAAUGACGGUACCGUAAGAAUAAGCACCGGCUAACUACGUGCCAGCAGCCGCGGUAAUACGUAGGGUGCAAGCGUUAAUCGGAAUUACUGGGCGUAAAGCGUGCGCAGGCGGUUUUGUAAGACAGGCGUGAAAUCCCCGGGCUCAACCUGGGAAUUGCGCUUGUGACUGCAAGGCUGGAGUGCGGCAGAGGGGGAUGGAAUUCCGCGUGUAGCAGUGAAAUGCGUAGAUAUGCGGAGGAACACCGAUGGCGAAGGCAAUCCCCUGGGCCUGUACUGACGCUCAUGCACGAAAGCGUGGGGAGCAAACAGGAUUAGAUACCCGAGUAGUCC